GAUGAACGCUGGCGGCGUGCCUAAUACAUGCAAGUCGAGCGAACAGACGAGGAGCUUGCUCCUCUGACGUUAGCGGCGGACGGGUGAGUAACACGUGGAUAACCUACCUAUAAGACUGGGAUAACUUCGGGAAACCGGAGCUAAUACCGGAUAAUAUAUUGAACCGCAUGGUUCAAUAGUGAAAGACGGUUUUGCUGUCACUUAUAGAUGGAUCCGCGCCGCAUUAGCUAGUUGGUAAGGUAACGGCUUACCAAGGCGACGAUGCGUAGCCGACCUGAGAGGGUGAUCGGCCACACUGGAACUGAGACACGGUCCAGACUCCUACGGGAGGCAGCAGUAGGGAAUCUUCCGCAAUGGGCGAAAGCCUGACGGAGCAACGCCGCGUGAGUGAUGAAGGUCUUCGGACCGUAAAACUCUGUUAUUAGGGAAGAACAAAUGUGUAAGUAACUAUGCACGUCUUGACGGUACCUAAUCAGAAAGCCACGGCUAACUACG
This 495-nucleotide ribosomal RNA is filed under the name uncultured bacterium. Its description in RNAcentral is "partial 16S ribosomal RNA". It matches the Rfam family "Bacterial small subunit ribosomal RNA", at positions 28 to 505 of the family's 1533-position model. The record is from RNAcentral.